Molecule: long non-coding RNA, 149 nt
Organism: Lepus europaeus (European hare)
Lineage: Eukaryota; Metazoa; Chordata; Mammalia; Lagomorpha; Leporidae
Exons: 3
Source: RefSeq, a predicted model, not a curated record
UGGUGAGAGAAAUUUCAAGAGGCCCCUAUCCAGUUUCUUCUAUGAAGCCCACAGUCAGGAGCCUCUCUGCCCAGCCAUGAUGUUUCAAUGGCAUACCUGGGGGAUAAACUACUGAGGCGAUAAGCAGUCCUAUGUAGAACAAGCUGAGA